AAGGUCCUAGCUUAGUUAAAGUACCUGGGUUGCAUUCAGGAGAUGUAGGUUAAUAUCCUACGGACUUUA
This 69-nucleotide transfer RNA is filed under the name Neopipo cinnamomea. RNAcentral's name for it is "tRNA-Ala". It matches the Rfam family "tRNA". From Rfam's summary of the family: Transfer RNA (tRNA) molecules are approximately 80 nucleotides in length. Their secondary structure includes four short double-helical elements and three loops (D, anti-codon, and T loops). Lineage: Eukaryota; Metazoa; Chordata; Aves; Passeriformes; Tyrannidae. The record is from RNAcentral.